GGCUGUGAGAACAACCUAGUUGUGACAUGUCACCCCACCGAUAACCAGGGUUUACAUAGCUGAUCUGGCUGGCUAGGAAAGUGUCCCCUUCCUCUAUCACCACUCCAUGUGUGUCCCUCUCAGGCAAAGAGAAUGACCUUCCUCCAAUAGAGGACUGGUCCUCUCCUACUAGAACUUCCAAACAAGAUUAACUUAAGAUUAAUUUAAGAUUUUCUUGAGGCCCAACAUGGUGGUAAAUGUCUAUAAU
Molecule: small RNA, 247 nt
Filed under: Jaculus jaculus (lesser Egyptian jerboa)
Lineage: Eukaryota; Metazoa; Chordata; Mammalia; Rodentia; Dipodidae
Description: 7SK RNA (ENSJJAG00000006806.1)
Rfam family: 7SK RNA (bases 1-170)
About the family: 7SK was discovered as an abundant small nuclear RNA in the mid-70s but a possible function has only recently been suggested. Two independent studies have found that 7SK RNA binds the CDK9/cyclin T complex (known as elongation factor P-TEFb).
Source: RNAcentral